GAUGAACGCUAGCGAUAGGCUUAACACAUGCAAGUCGAGCGCGACUGAUUUGAUGCUUGCAUCAUUGAAAGUUGAGCGGCGGACGGGUGAGUAACGCGUGGGUAACCUGCCCUAUACACAUGGAUAACAUACUGAAAAGUUUACUAAUACAUGAUAAUGUAUAUUUACGGCAUCGUAGGUAUACCAAAGUGUUAGCGGUAUAGGAUGGACCCGCGUCUGAUUAGCUAGUUGGUGAGAUAACUGCCUACCAAGACGAUGAUACGUAGCCGACCUGAGAGGGUGAUCGGCCACAUUGGGACUGAGACACGGCCCAA
This 314-nucleotide ribosomal RNA is filed under the name uncultured bacterium. RNAcentral describes it as "bacterial SSU rRNA". It matches the Rfam family "Bacterial small subunit ribosomal RNA", at positions 28 to 334 of the family's 1533-position model. The record is from RNAcentral.